UCAGGUUUGGAGCUAAACUCUGCAGGACAUCGGCACUCCAAGACUGACGUUGCCUUCCCCUGCUCUAAAAGCUUCAUCCUCUGAUCCCUGCCAAUGUCUUGUUCUCAGUUGUAAUACUGCUAGUACACCACUAGAGGAAGCCAGGGAUUCAUGAAAACACAUCCUUCCUUGAUUUGUUUUCAGAGCUUUGCUGCAUAUUAUUUCACCUCAUCUCACCUCGUCUUCCAGUGUCUUUUUCAUUCUCAUUAAAUCCUAGAAUUGCACCUUGAAGACUAACAACAGCAAAGCAUGGUGCUUAUGGACAGGUUGACGGCUGUUAUCGUGACGAACAGCACCGACAGGCAGGCGAAGAUCUUCCCGGGCAGGCCGGAGUGAGGCUUCUCCACCAUGUCUCUUAGUUUUCCCAUCCAGUGGCCGAGACGAGACUCUCUGGCCAAUCCGCUUCCACUGUCCUCGUCGUCGUCCUCGUCUUCCUCCACCACCCGCUCUAGUUCGUCGCAUUCCUCCACACGCUGCAGGAGGCGUCGCCGGCAGCACCAUUCCAAGCUCUCCUCCGGGACGCCCCAGUAGAGCAGCUCUUCUUGGAAAGACAGGGCGCACAUCUCCCGCAGAGAGCGCAGCUUCCCGGCGCGCAGGAAGGUGAGGAUGGUCCGGAAGGCGCAGGGACUGCGGUCGAAGAAGAACUCAUUGUGGACCACGUCGUAGUCAUCACACACCCGCAUGAUCUCGUCAAAGCUGCUGCACAGACGCAACUGGCCCAGACGCGAGAGGGGGAAGUCCUCCAGCGUGGUCCAGGGAAGCUGGUACCGCAGGCCGCCCACGUUAAUGAUGACGUGCAGCCGCUGGCCGCAGGAUGGCAGGUUGCCGUUGUCGUCUGGAUGGAGCGCAUCGGGGAUGCCGGGGUCAGUCAGAGGCAGUCGUUGCGCCCGUUUGUAAUAAACGCCCUUGAGGGCCUCUUGCUCCUGGAUGGGCGGCGCGUUCAGAGAGGUGUCCGAGGUGCAACUCAAAGCACUGUAGUCGUAAUCCGAACCAUCGCCUGCCAGUAAAGUCAUCUUUCACCUGGCCACCUCCACCUCAGCGGCUGUCACAUGCCUGUAGUCCAGCGUUUCCUCUCAAAGAGUGACCUGCUCAAUGAGAACGAGACGGCAGAUUAGUGAUCAAGCUGUACUGUUGUAGCCGUGACUUUGGACCAUUAUACUAAGCAAAACCAUUUUAGGACAAACAAACAAAAAAGCAUUUUUAAAUAGAUGAAUGAACACAGCCACUAAAAUGAAAAACCCGACCAGAAGAGGUAGCAAGAUGAAGCCAGUGCUAUUACAAUAAGAGGCUCGACCGACCGAUGACAUCACUCAGGUCCCAAAGUACAAAGUACUUUCUAAUGGACAGAAACCUCCCGGGUUCUGCUGAUCAAUAAUCCCGCUGUCUACUUUUUGGGACAGACUCUGUGAUUAAGGUCUAGUAAAGUGCAAUUGUUGGGCCUUUUGUGCAUCACUUUCAUCUGCUGUUUUUAGGAGCAUCUGGGACGUUCAGAUAAGAUGGUGUAUGUUCUGACUUGUUGCGGGGGACUUGCCAAUGAAUGAACCCUUGCGAAACAAGUGAACAGAAUAUCUUGGCACGCAACUACCUAGCCUGCGAUAGCCCGCGACAAGGAAGCCUUCCCAUCCAAGUAAGAGUGUGAAAAUGAAUAACUCGAGUGCUUCCAACACCUCUUUUUCAAACUUGUCUCAAACGUUCACCUACACAACAAGUGGAGCAUUUUGAACCUUAGACACCUUUCUUGCAACGCCGCAAUGCGAACCACAGACUGAUGAAUCGAAAUGCUCUGGCUCAACAUCGCUCCAGUGAAGACGUUCACCUCCCAGACAAGGCUGGGCAGAUUUUAUUAGCUUCUUUUCACUUUGGGAAAUUAAAUUGAAUUGGCCACUUCCCACAGGAAGUUGAACUAGAAUAAGAGGAAAAUAAAUUUACUACGUUAAUUUUAAAGAAAAUGAACACAAGUUAUGCAUUCUAGUAAAU
This is a long non-coding RNA of Cyprinus carpio (common carp), 2016 nucleotides long. RefSeq lists it as uncharacterized. The record is from RefSeq and is a predicted model, not a curated record. NCBI's taxonomy places the organism in Eukaryota, Metazoa, Chordata, Actinopteri, Cypriniformes, Cyprinidae. The transcript is spliced from 4 exons.